AUUCAAAGUAAAAAAAAAUGUACAGUAAGUAAAGUAUUUGUACUGUUACUUUACACCACUGUCAAUGGAUGUGUAAUUCAGUGUAUUAUUCUGUUCAGAUUAGAAUACUGUAAACUCACUGGUCAGUGUUGUGAAAUUCUGGCAUCAGUUCUACAAUCAUCAAACUCCUGUCUGAUAGAGCUGGACAUGAGUUUCAAUGACCUGCAGGACUCCGGAGUAAAGCUGCUCUCUGAUGGACUGAAAAGCCCAAACUGUCAGCUGGAGAAACUGAGAUUAUGUGGCUGUAAGGUGACAGAUAUAGGCUGUGGUUAUCUGGCUUCAGCUUUGCGUUCAAACCCCUCACACCUGAGAGAGCUAGAUCUGAGAGGCAAUAACCUGGGAGAAUCAGGAGUCAAGAUGCUCUCUGAUCUACUGAAUGAUCCAAACUGCACACUGAACAAAUUCAUGUAUGUUGAGCAGUAAGAUUUAUCUAAUCCUGUGAAUGUUUGUUUUUGCAUUUCAGUCUUACCAUCAACAAGUGUACAGUGGAGUGAAAUGUGGAAAGGGUCUGUAGUAAAGCUGCGUUGAAGAAAAGAUUACGUUUGCUACAAUAUCAGUCUCAAUGAGUAGGCCUUCUUAAAAAAGAUAGUUCACCCAAACAUUUAAUAUCUGGCAUUAUUUACUCACUUUCACGUCAUCCAAACCUGUAUGCCUUUCUUUUUUCUGUGGAACACAAAAGACAUUUUCUUUUCAGUAUGAAAAGUCUCAGGGCCCUAUUUUAAUGUUCUAAGUGCAUGGUCUGAAGCACAUGGCGCAGGUGUACUUAGGGCGUUUCCGAAUUCACUUUUGCUAGUUUAACAACAGAUUAAAUGCUUUUCGUUUAACCUUGUUUUCAGACCAGCAUGAACAGAUGGGCACAAGUUCAUUUGCAUUUGUUAAACGAUGUGCUCUCAGUGUUUUUUCCUUUACAAUAGAUAUCAGUGGUCACCUAAACUUCAAAAUAUCAUCAUUUGUGUUCAGCAGAAGAAAUCCAUGUAGGUUUGGAAACACAUGAGAUAAUUUUUUUAAUAAUUUAAAAUUAUUAGGUUAUUAGGUUAUAUUUGGCUCAGAAUCAGUGGAUUGCUUCUUUAGUAAGAAUAUAACAAUGUUGUGCUUAGACUGACAGGUUUGUCUUAUUUCCUCUUUGAGUGACUGCACAUGAUCUGCUGUACAGCUUCAUUGUCUUCACAAUCAAGGGAUCAUUUUGACAAGCUAGCACACGUUUGAGAGACCGGUAUAUCUGACACUGGAUCCAAACACAGCAGACACUCGUCUCAUUCUGUCUGAGGAGAACAGAAAUAUGACACAUGUUUGAGGAUGAUUUGGAUUAAAAAAAAAUACCCUGGAGUCUGAACAGUUCUGGUUACAGUUUCACUGGCUGUCACAAUAAUCAGAGAACAUCAUAUUUGCCCCUUCAUCCAUCCAUCCAUCUGACCGGCCAGUAUUUUGUUCUUCUACAGCAUCUGUGACACUCACAAACAUUCAACACAAUGAGUUUACAUGUUCACUUGUGAGCAAUUUUUUCCCUCACUUGGUUUUUAUACAUGUUUAAAUGUUUCUGAGGAACAGGAAGAAGUAAACUGCAGAAAUGUUUAUUGCUGCUGCUUCACAAAUUGGAUAAUUUCUGAGGUUAGUUAUAUGAAAACACUUCACUGGGACCUUGUCUUUAAAUGUCUUUGCAUUUGUUUUCAAAAAAAAAAAAAAAAAAUUAAAAUAUGAAAUUCUAUAUUCUAUAUCUCUCAGAGAAUAAAAAAGGGCCAAAAUCUGUCACUGGGGCAGAACCCAUAUGGUACACCUUUAUACCUCAUUUACCUUUUAAAGGUACAUAUUAGUGCUUUUGACAGCUUUUGUACCUUUUAUUCAGUUUUUUUUUUCUGAUUAAACAUUUCUUCUGCCUAAACAGUCCGUAACUUUUUGUUGUUGUUGUGGUUUCCAAAAUCAUUUUUUUUUUGAGCAAGUACAUAACCAGCCCUCUCCUUACCUUAGCUCGAUUCACAACGGUAAGCUUGCAAUAAUGUUAUCUAAUUAUUGGCAAGGGUGUAGAUUUGGUUUCAACAUUGGGAGGGAUGAACGUUGGUAUGC
Molecule: RNA transcript, 2100 nt
Organism: Megalobrama amblycephala (Wuchang bream)
Lineage: Eukaryota; Metazoa; Chordata; Actinopteri; Cypriniformes; Xenocyprididae
Gene name: ribonuclease inhibitor-like
Exons: 4
Source: RefSeq, a predicted model, not a curated record